CUUUGGGUAGUUAUCAUCUCUUUAAGAAAGGAAAAAAGAAGAAGAAUAAGAAGGUACUUGGUACUGGGAGUCAGUCCCAUAAACCCAAGUUCAAGGCUGAUCAAAGUUAGGCAGAGUGCUUCUUUUGUAAGAAGCAGGAUCAUUGGAAGAAGAAUUAUUCUCAGUAUAUCGCUUCCCUUGAUCCGAACAGGCCAAAAAAGAAGAAGCAAUCAGUUGCUGGAUAAAGUACUUAUGUGAUAACACCU
This 245-nucleotide long non-coding RNA is filed under the name Elaeis guineensis (African oil palm). Its description in RNAcentral is "long non-coding RNA (EGUI_LNC056300)". Lineage: Eukaryota; Viridiplantae; Streptophyta; Magnoliopsida; Arecales; Arecaceae. The record is from RNAcentral.